CCUACGGGAGGCAGCAGUAGGGAAUCUUUCACAAUGGGCGAAAGCCUGAUGGAGCAACGCCGCGUGCAGGAUGAAGGCCUUCGGGUUGUAAACUGCUUUUAUAAGCGAGAAAUAUGAUGGUAACUUAUGAAUAAGGAUCGGCUAACUACGUGCCAGCAGCCGCGGUCAUACGUAGGAUCCGAGCAUUAUCCGGAGUGACUGGGUGUAAAGAGUUGCGUAGGUGGCAUAAUAAGUAGCUAGUUAAAUCUGGUGGCUCAACCAUUCAGACUAUUAGCUAAACUGUUAAGCUCGAGACCGUUGGGGGUAACUGGAAUUUCUAGUGUAGGAGUGAAAUCCGUAGAUAUUAGAAGGAACACCAAUAGCGUAGGCAGGUUGCUGGGACGGUUCUGACACUAAGGCACGAAAGCGUAGGGAGCAAACGGGAUUAGAUACCCCUGUAGUC
RNAcentral lists this ribosomal RNA (442 nucleotides) under uncultured bacterium. RNAcentral's name for it is "partial 16S ribosomal RNA". It matches the Rfam family "Bacterial small subunit ribosomal RNA", at positions 338 to 795 of the family's 1533-position model. The record is from RNAcentral.